This 471-nucleotide ribosomal RNA is filed under the name uncultured bacterium. RNAcentral describes it as "partial 16S ribosomal RNA". It matches the Rfam family "Bacterial small subunit ribosomal RNA", at positions 28 to 507 of the family's 1533-position model. The record is from RNAcentral.
GACGAACGCUGGCGGCGUGCUUAACACAUGCAAGUCGAACGAUGACGCCUAGCUUGCUAGGUGGAUUAGUGGCGAACGGGUGAGUAAUACGUGAGUAACCUACCUUUCACUCUGGGAUAAGCCUGGGAAACUGGGUCUAAUACCGGAUACGACCAAUCUCCGCAUGGGGUGUUGGUGGAAAGCGUUAUGUAGUGGUUAUAGAUUGGCUCACGGCCUAUCAGCUUGUUGGUGAGGUAACGGCUCACCAAGGCGACGACGGGUAGCCGGCCUGAGAGGGUGACCUGCCACACUGGGACUGAGACACGGCCCAGACUACUACGGGAGGCAGCAGUGGGGAAUAGUGCACAAUGGGCUCAAGCCUGAUGCAGCGACGCCGCGUGAGGGAUGACGGCCAUCGGGUUGUAAACCACUGUUAGCAGGGAAGAAGAGAAAUUGACGGUACCUGCAGAGAAAGCGCCGGCUAACUACGUG